This 411-nucleotide ribosomal RNA is filed under the name uncultured bacterium. RNAcentral's name for it is "bacterial SSU rRNA". It matches the Rfam family "Bacterial small subunit ribosomal RNA", at positions 30 to 440 of the family's 1533-position model. The record is from RNAcentral.
AUUGAACGCUGGCGGCAUGCCUUACACAUGCAAGUCGAACGGCGGCGGGCCUUCGGGUGCCGGCGAGUGGCGAACGGGUGAGUAAUGCAUCGGAACGUGCCAUUGAGUGGGGGAUAACGUAGCGAAAGUUACGCUAAUACCGCAUAUUCUGUGAGCAGGAAAGCAGGGGACCGCAAGGCCUUGCGCUCUUUGAGCGGCCGAUGUCAGAUUAGCUAGUUGGUGAGGUAAAGGCUUACCAAGGCGACGAUCUGUAGCGGGUCUGAGAGGAUGAUCCGCCACACUGGAACUGAGACACGGUCCAGACUCCUACGGGAGGCAGCAGUGGGGAAUUUUGGACAAUGGGCGCAAGCCUGAUCCAGCCAUGCCGCGUGAGUGAAGAAGGCCUUCGGGUUGUUAAAGGACUCUUUCGGU